Nannospalax galili (Upper Galilee mountains blind mole rat) is the source of this 241-nucleotide RNA transcript. It is a transcript of the gene named 40S ribosomal protein S2 pseudogene, with no coding region annotated. The transcript has a single exon. NCBI's taxonomy places the organism in Eukaryota, Metazoa, Chordata, Mammalia, Rodentia, Spalacidae. The record is from RefSeq and is a predicted model, not a curated record.
AUGAUGGCGGGUAUUGAUGACCGCUACACAUCAGCCAGGGGCUGCAAUGCCACCCUGGGCAACCUCGCCAAGGCCACCUUUGAUGCCAUCUCUAAGACCUACAGCUAUCUGACCCCUGACCUCUGGAAAGAGAUAGUCUUCACCAAGUCUCCCUAUCAGGAAUUCACUGAUCAUCUUGUGAAAACCCACACCAGCAUCUCUGUGCAGAGAACCCAGGCUCCAGCUGUGGCUACUACCUAGG